RNAcentral lists this ribosomal RNA (117 nucleotides) under Gammaproteobacteria bacterium. Lineage: Bacteria; Pseudomonadati; Pseudomonadota; Gammaproteobacteria. The record is from RNAcentral.
GUCGGUGGCCAUAGCGCGGGGGUCACACCCGUUCCCAUUCCGAACACGGAAGUUAAGUCCCGCAGCGCGGAUGGUACUGCCGGGGGGACCCGGUGGGAGAGUACGUCGUCGCCGGCC